RNAcentral lists this non-coding RNA (25 nucleotides) under Mus musculus (house mouse). The record is from RNAcentral. Lineage: Eukaryota; Metazoa; Chordata; Mammalia; Rodentia; Muridae.
UCCAGUCCGUCCCGGCUACAGCUCC